UGUACCAUGCUGGUAGCCAGUGUAAUGAAAGUUGCUCCUGGCAACCAGUGUUGUGCCAC
This 59-nucleotide microRNA precursor is filed under the name Xenopus tropicalis (tropical clawed frog). RNAcentral's name for it is "Xtr-Mir-7147_pre stem-loop". The record is from RNAcentral. Lineage: Eukaryota; Metazoa; Chordata; Amphibia; Anura; Pipidae.